Molecule: long non-coding RNA, 1009 nt
Filed under: Marmota monax (woodchuck)
Lineage: Eukaryota; Metazoa; Chordata; Mammalia; Rodentia; Sciuridae
Source: RNAcentral
UUCUGCUAUUAGUGGGUGUCCUCUCUUCCUUUCUUCCUGGCACCAGGCAGGUCUACUGAGCUCACACCCUACAUCACAUCCAAGUAUAUUCCCUCCCUCAAGUUCAGCCUGUUUCCUUCCAGUGUGGCCAGAGGCACCAGGGCUGUCGCAUGCAGUGGCCUGAUAAAUGGCCAUCUGCUGUGGCCUCUUUCCCUGCAGCAGCCUUGCAUCUCCCCUUCCUUCUCCUCUUUACCCCCCAGCAAUAUUUGCAAAUAAAUUUCCACCUAGCUUCGGAGGCCUGGUGCCUUGAAAUCCAAUGGCUCACCUUUCUGAGGCUCCCCCUGAGCAGGGCUCCAUUGCUCCUCUCUGAGUUCCUCGGGUACUUUCCUGUGCCCCUUGCCUGCCCUCUCCAUGGUCUGCCUGCAUCUCCAUUGUAUCUGUGCAUGGGCAGAGGUUAGCGGUGGUCCAGAACCAGACCUGGUGAGCAGUGGAGCUGGGAUGUGAACCUCACUUUCCUUGCCUCAAAGACUUUGCUGUGAUGAAUCCCCAGGCACUUCCCUCCUGUCAAUUUCUGACCCUCCCCACUUUCACAUCAACCUCCUCUCCAUUGCCCACAGCACAUGGCUUUUGUGUAUAGUAGGCUCCCAAUAAACCUCUAGAAUAUACAGCACCUCUGCCUCUCUCCUAAAAAGUCAUCUUUUUAAAGGGACUAUUCAAUUGACACUUGUUUCACAGAUAACCAAAGCACUAAAGGCUGUACUGGUACCUCCCUUCUGUGUCCUAAAUGUUUUGUGGUAGCCUUUAUUUCCCUGUUAAACAUAAAUAUUGAUUUGGGAUCCUUGUGCCAAAAAGUUCUUUAUCACGUCUUCCCAUUUCCAUGGAUCUUUCUCAGGGCGGCUUCUCCUCACAUUCAUAGUAUUUAUAAGUGGGUUGAUUUUAAAGCUAAUUAAAUAUUAUUUCAUGUUAUUUCUUAUCUGAUCCUCAGGUUUUAUGCAUUUCCAUAAUGUUUAUUUCCCAAUGGUAACUGUUC